GUUUCCGCCCUCUAGGAGGUGCGACAAGCGGCGCUCUUUUCAGAAUUUGCUAGCCAAGUACCCUGUGUAUGCUCCACCCCAGGGAGCUCAUCCCUGAAGAAACUUCAAAUGGCUUCUAAGAAGAAAAGGUCAGCCCUUCCCAAUGUCCCCAGGUGAGGCAGGCUGCCCUCCUACCCUUCAAAGCACCAAGAUGAUGUAGACUCAAGACCCGCCCUGCUAUGAGCCCCAGGCUGGGCUUUAGAGGCAGGAGUCCCAAGGAAGUGAGGCAAAGGUCAGGGAAAUAAAUUAAUAAAUACAGGGGCCCCAUGAGGGCGGCUGGGAAGGCUGCUUUGCCUCUCAACACUGAUCACUGCUGUCCACUCCAGACAUUCCCACCUUUUCUUGAGUGGAAGCAGGGCUACUGUUUGGAAUGGAGAGCAUUUCUCUUGGGACAGGCUUCAGGAACUCAGAGUCUGCGCUCCAUGCGCCGCUCCACAGCUCUUAGCAAUAGCUCAGAGUACUGCUCCAACAGGGCCUGCGUCUGCUCAGCCCCCACAGUCCCAGGGCUGCCACCUGGGCUGGACAGCACAGCCCCAGCCAGAGCCUCGAGCUCCUGUCGCACUGAAGAGAAGGUGUCCCUCAGGAGACGGGUGAUGUGACUUUGCUCUGCUGAAGGUGUCUUACAGCUGGUCACCUGCAACAGGAACACUGGAUGUGAGCUGGAGAACAGCAGACAGUAGAAUAUAGAAAAGGGGGCUCUGCCGGUGCCUUGCCCACCCAGUGGAAGGGACUGCCAAGGAGUCUACACACAAGAUCAGGGUGAUCAGAGUCACUCUGAUGGGUGACCCAGAUGAGGGUCCCUCCAGGCUAUCUACUUCUUAACAACUUUUCCCAACAACUCUCUUUCAAAUGUGACAGUUACAUUGUUUCUUAUACCUAAACUGCCCAAACCAUUUUGGGAUAUAAAAAAAGAUAACAGCC
Molecule: long non-coding RNA, 960 nt
Filed under: Mus pahari (shrew mouse)
Lineage: Eukaryota; Metazoa; Chordata; Mammalia; Rodentia; Muridae
Description: predicted gene 13999 (MGP_PahariEiJ_G0003339.1)
Source: RNAcentral